AGCGGAGGGGACAAGUGUUAUUCUACUUGACUGGGCGUAAAGGGCACGUAGGCGGCUUUUUGAAUGUUGAGUUAAAGUAGUGUUUUCUAAUUCUCAAUUCUAUUGUUUAGCUAGAGUUUAACCGAGGAUAACGGUAUUUUCAAAGUAGAGGUAAAAUUCGGCGAUAUUGAAAAGACCAUCAUUAGACGAAGGCAGUUAUCCAAGUUAAACUGACGCUGAGGUGCAAAAGCAUGGGGAGAAAACAGG
Molecule: ribosomal RNA, 246 nt
Filed under: uncultured bacterium
Lineage: Bacteria
Description: partial 16S ribosomal RNA
Rfam family: Bacterial small subunit ribosomal RNA
Source: RNAcentral